CGGGCAGUGAUGAGCUCUUAACAUGUAAGAAGAAAUUCUGAUAUAAGAGUUUUUUUCUAUGAAAUAUACUUGUUACGCUUGGCUUCUGAGCUCU
This is a non-coding RNA of Ricinus communis (castor bean), 94 nucleotides long. Lineage: Eukaryota; Viridiplantae; Streptophyta; Magnoliopsida; Malpighiales; Euphorbiaceae. The record is from Rfam.